CAUAGGUUAAUGAGGCGAACCGGGGGAACUGAAACAUCUAAGUACCCCGAGGAAAAGAAAUCAACCGAGAUUCCCCCAGUAGCGGCGAGCGAACGGGGAGCAGCCCAGAGCCUGAAUCAGUGUGUGUGUUAGUGGAAGCGUCUGGAAAGGCGCGCGAUACAGGGUGACAGCCCCGUACACAAAAAUGCACAUACUGUGAGCUCGAUGAGUAGGGCGGGACACGUGGUAUCCUGUCUGAAUAUGGGGGGACCAUCCUCCAAGGCUAAAUACUCCUGACUGACCGAUAGUGAACCAGUACCGUGAGGGAAAGGCGAAAAGAACCCCGGCGAGGGGAGUGAAAAAGAACCUGAAACCGUGUACGUACAAGCAGUGGGAGCACGCUUAGGCGUGUGACUGCGUACCUUUUGUAUAAUGGGUCAGCGACUUAUAUUCUGUAGCAAGGUUAACCGAAUAGGGGAGCCGAAGGGAAACCGAGUCUUAACUGGGCGUUAAGUUGCAGGGUAUAGACCCGAAACCCGGUGAUCUAGCCAUGGGCAGGUUGAAGGUUGGGUAACACUAACUGGAGGACCGAACCGACUAAUGUUGAAAAAUUAGCGGAUGACUUGUGGCUGGGGGUGAAAGGCCAAUCAAACCGGGAGAUAGCUGGUUCUCCCCGAAAGCUAUUUAGGUAGCGCCUCGUGAAUUCAUCUCCGGGGGUAGAGCACUGUUUCGGCAAGGGGGUCAUCCCGACUUACCAACCCGAUGCAAACUGCGAAUACCGGAGAAUGUUAUCACGGGAGACACACGGCGGGUGCUAACGUCCGUCGUGAAGAGGGAAACAACCCAGACCGCCAGCUAAGGUCCCAAAGUCAUGGUUAAGUGGGAAACGAUGUGGGAAGGCCCAGACAGCCAGGAUGUUGGCUUAGAAGCAGCCAUCAUUUAAAGAAAGCGUAAUAGCUCACUGGUCGAGUCGGCCUGCGCGGAAGAUGUAACGGGGCUAAACCAUGCACCGAAGCUGCGGCAGCGACGCUGAUGCGUUGUUGGGUAGGGGAGCGUUCUGUAAGCCUGUGAAGGUGUGCUGUGAGGCAUGCUGGAGGUAUCAGAAGU
This 1086-nucleotide ribosomal RNA is filed under the name Escherichia coli. RNAcentral's name for it is "partial 23S ribosomal RNA". It matches the Rfam family "Bacterial large subunit ribosomal RNA", at positions 165 to 1289 of the family's 2925-position model. Lineage: Bacteria; Pseudomonadati; Pseudomonadota; Gammaproteobacteria; Enterobacterales; Enterobacteriaceae. The record is from RNAcentral.